GAGAUUAGCAUGGCCCCUGUGCAAGGAUGACAAGCAAAUUGUAAAAUAUAUGUCCUUAUUU
This 61-nucleotide small nuclear RNA is filed under the name Sorex araneus (European shrew). Lineage: Eukaryota; Metazoa; Chordata; Mammalia; Eulipotyphla; Soricidae. The record is from RNAcentral.